GAACGGAGUCUUCCCCGCAAGGGACGGCGAGACAGGUGCUGCAUGGCUGUCGUCAGCUCGUGUCGUGAGAUGUUGGGUUAAGUCCCGCAACGAGCGCAACCCUCAUCCUUAGUUGCCAUCAUUGAGUUGGGCACUCUAAGGAAACUGCCCCGGUUAACGGGGAGGAAGGUGGGGAUGACGUCAAGUCCUCAUGGCCUUUAUGUCCAGGGCUACACACGUGCUACAAUGGGCGGUACAAAGGGUUGCAAUACCGUAAGGUGGAGCUAAUCCCAAAAAGCCGCUCUCAGUUCAGAUUAGAGUCUGCAACUCGACUUUAUGAAGGCGGAAUCGCUAGUAAUCGCAGGUCAGCAUACUGCGGUGAAUACGUUCCCGGGCCUU
Molecule: ribosomal RNA, 378 nt
Filed under: uncultured delta proteobacterium
Lineage: Bacteria; Deltaproteobacteria
Description: bacterial SSU rRNA
Rfam family: Bacterial small subunit ribosomal RNA
Source: RNAcentral